RNAcentral lists this ribosomal RNA (415 nucleotides) under uncultured beta proteobacterium. RNAcentral describes it as "bacterial SSU rRNA". It matches the Rfam family "Bacterial small subunit ribosomal RNA", at positions 9 to 429 of the family's 1533-position model. Lineage: Bacteria; Pseudomonadati; Pseudomonadota; Betaproteobacteria. The record is from RNAcentral.
GAGUUUGAUCCUGGCUCAGAUUGAACGCUGGCGGCAUGCCUUACACAUGCAAGUCGAGCGGCAGCGCGGGGGCAACCCUGGCGGCGAGCGGCGAACGGGUGAGUAAUACAUCGGAACGUGUCCUGUCGUGGGGGAUAACCAGUCGAAAGAUUGGCUAAUACCGCAUGACCUCGUAAGAGAAAAGCGGGGACCGUAAGGCCUCGCGCGACUGGAGCGGCCGAUGUCGGAUUAGCUAGUUGGCGGGGUAAAAGCCCACCAAGGCGACGAUCCGUAGCUGGUUUGAGAGAACGACCAGCCACACUGGGACUGAGACACGGCCCAGACUCCUACGGGAGGCAGCAGUGGGGAAUUUUGGACAAUGGGGCAACCCUGAUCCAGCCAUGCCGCGUGUGUGAAGAAGGCCUUCGGUUGUAAG